Molecule: long non-coding RNA, 1813 nt
Organism: Drosophila obscura
Lineage: Eukaryota; Metazoa; Arthropoda; Insecta; Diptera; Drosophilidae
Exons: 3
Source: RefSeq, a predicted model, not a curated record
UACUGGCUAAACAAUGUUUUAGUGAACAAAUAUGGCGGACUAUCUCGGAGUAAAAAUACAACUGAAUCAAAUCAAAGGUCCAAUUGGGAUGAUUAUGACUCGCCAAUGUAAGCUGAAUAUGGAGGUUCCCCGAAAAUAAUUUAAAAUUUAUCAAUAUACAUAUCUAUGUGUAUUCUCAUAUAUUUAUAAAAAUGCCCUGCGAUAGCAUCAAAAUUAAUCAUAUCAAUUUAAAAUACCCACCAUUUUGUAAGGCUUUGAAAAACUGCCAAAAAAUAUUGUCAAAAGUAUAAACAUAAGCAUCAAAUUGUUCAACAUGACACACUGAAUUCAAAUUACCCUUAACCAAAGACAAUUUCAUAUUUUCUUCAAAAUAAUAGGUAGGGUUUAUUCCACCGAAUUUCAACACGGCUUUUAAUAUUACUAUUUCUCAAUCUCUCGUUCGGAUUUUAUUAACGAAUCUAAAUUUAGUUUGCUGACUUGUUGACAAGCAUAGUAGUAGGCAGGUCUCAUAUUGACAUUCAUCUAAACAGUGUUAAGAAAAACGUCAAAAAAAAUAUUCAGAUACAACAAUUUUCUCUGAAAUUUAAAUAUAUAUAUUAACGGAGAACAAAUCAAGAAUUAUACAUACACACGGUAAUCAAGUGAUGGAUUCCGAAAUAAUUCACUAGUAAUUCACUACGACGAUCCGAGUUGGGACCGAAUUAAAAUUAAAAUCAUCUAGCUGGUAUCUUAUAAUUAAUAAAUUCUAACUAUAAAACCGGCUCGGCCCACCAUCAUUUCAGAUCUGCAACUAUAUCAGCUGAAAUGAAAAAUGGAAUAAAUUAAUAUAUUUACGGAUAGGGACUGUUAUGUAAUCGAUAUAAUCUUAUGACUCUGACAUUUUCCCUCGUGACAUACGACAAGAUUAUGGAAUCUUCAACUAUAAUUUCUUAGUUUGUUUUGAUCUCUUGAUCGCUAUAAAAGCAGGAGUUCAUUUUUGGUUUACGAUUUCUCAACCUGAUUAGUAGGGACGACGACGAUACCACCAGAUAUAUUACCCAAAUUUUCGUAUAAUCUUCUAUUUAUGGACGAAUUAUAUCUACCACAAAUGAAUGCUAAAAUUCUAAUAAGCAUAGUAGGCUGGGCUCAUAAUGACAUUCGUUUGAAUUGUAUUCAAGUGACUACGUAAAAAUAUCAAAAAUAUAAACACAAUAUAUAAAAAUUUAAAAAUUCACUGCGAAGUUCAAAUUUUUCCAUUUUUCCAUUGGGGUUCGUAUAUGUUAAGUAUCAAACCGUCCACAAGUAACUAUUGGACUAUGAACGACUAUAUAACAUGGACAUAACACCAAAAAUGCAUUGUCCCAGGAAUAGCCCACAGGAAUUAUGCAAAGGUUACAAAUAUAACAUAUAAAAACGAUAAAAAUGUAUUAUAGAAUGGUUUUAACAAAACAUACCUGGAAGAUUUAAGUGAAGAGAUUUAUUAUGAUCAAAAGAACACAUGAAUGCCACUGCAUAUAAUGUAAAGCGAUCUUUUGACAUGCAAUCCAAGCAAUCGACAAAUAUAUGCCAAAUUCCCAAAUAUUACUAUACAGUUUCACAUAUAUUAAGAAUUAAUAUUACGCAGUCCAGUAACAAUCGUGUCGAAAUUCCGACUACACCAUUAACACCGUGUUCUGAACAGGCUAUGUAAAAAGUAUUUUGUACAUGAAUGUUUUGAAUGCAUUUUACAAUUUAACAUCUUCAAACUACCAGCUUUAAGUUUGUAGCCCAAGUAUCUUAGUUUUCUGGAUUAUCAUCCUGACACACAAUCUAAAAAAAUACUGAUCUAAUGAGA